UUGCCUUUGUCUAUGGAUAUGUAUUUACCUUAAUUAGUCCAAAGUUGAGCUACACGUAUACAAUUUGUUAAAAAUCACCAGUUACGUGCAACUACACGUAUACCACUAAGAAUAAUGUGUUAAAUAAGUCACCUGCAAGUAUAAUCACACAACACACACAUAGACUAUCACCUCCAUGAGGCUAUGCCCAAUCAAUUUAUUUUACCAUUAUGUAUUUUCUUUUAUGAGGCUAUGAUCAACCCCUAAAGUACAUUAUAUCAUAAAGUCAUAUGUUUAUUUCCUAAGUUUAUGCUUUAUACCUCAAGGGCCCAAUACUUUUGUCCCAUACUUCAUACGAACUACCUUAUAUCAAGAAUAGCAAAUCUAUCUAUAUAUUUCACUUAGUAUGCUACGGUUCCCACCGGGCUCUCUUUCUCGCUUAGUAUGCUUCGGUUUUGGAAAAUAAGAGUAUUAGUGAAGCUAAGUUAUCUAUUGGAUGGCCAGAUCUAUCCCAAAGUUUUGGAAAGUAAGAGUACUUAGUUUUUCCAAUCUUUUCCCUUUUUCCUACUAUUUCAGUGUUGUCAUUUACCUCAGAAAACAUCUUCAAAUCCAUAAUUAGUUCUACACUUAAUUUCUCACAAAAAGCAUUUAAACCAUUUUAAGCAUCAUUCAAUAAAUUCAUCAACCAAAAGAAAAGAAAUGAAACCCCCAAGAAGAGCUAAAAUCAUGGGUUCGAAUGGCAUCUACAACAUUUUUUUUUGAAAUCUUAAUAACCACAACAUAAAACAAAGAUUGCUACUGAUUGCAAAAUAACCCAAUAUCAUAAUUUUUGUCAAAACACUUGCUUAGUAUACAUAUAAUCUGCAUACUCUGUUUUCUGUUAAUGUUUUAAGAGUGAACAAAUUGACUUCACAAAUCAUGUCCCAUUUUAAGAGAGAUGAAAACAUUCAACAUACCCAGUUUCAGUUGAGUUCUGCAGAAUACAAACAGAGUAUUGACAAUCUUGGUUGGCAAGUAUGGGUAAAGAAGAAUUCAAGCACAAAUGUCGGAAUUAAGAAGACUCAUUAAGAAGAAUUCAAGCAUAAAUCUCUACAAUUUCAUUCGGAGAAAUUCGCCAAGCUUGGUAACAACAAAAAGUUUCACCAACGAAACUGUUUCUCUACUUGACCAAGCUUGGUCUAUAGUGUUCGACAGUAGUUCAAAUACUGACAGAAAUAUCCUUUUUCACCUUAUUUAAUGCCUUGGCAUAAAAAGUCAAUAAAAUCUUCUAUCAAAUAAGAAAUCCACCUAGAAUUACCUUUUAGAAUCUUAAGCAUAAAGACAUCUGAUAUGCAUAAAGCACUUUUGCACUCGGCUCAGAAUAGUGAAUCAACAUUCACAUUCAUAGUUUCUAGGACUCUAGAGAGUGAUGGCUGGUGUAGAAAUCCCCAGACUGUAGCUUAUAAGCUCAUAGAAAUCCUGGAACUUUAACUUAUAACUUCAUCGUGAGGUUGAGUCAGUUAUAACUUUAGCUUAUAACUUCAUCGUGAGGUUUUUUGGUUAGAGUUCCGAAGCAAAGCUGUUCUAAAUGGAACAUGAUUGCUCAUUGUGUUUGGUGAGUUUUACUGAGGGAGCGAAAUUGUCAAUAUAUUGAGGAGCAGGAGAGGUUCAGUUGUGCAUAUUGAAUUUUUACUUUUCAGUAUAGUUUUGUUUGGCAGAAUGAGAUUUAUCUUGGUUCAGUUGUUCAACCUUGAAAGCUGACCAUUGUUG
This 1728-nucleotide long non-coding RNA is filed under the name Panax ginseng (ginseng). RNAcentral's name for it is "long non-coding RNA (PGIN_LNC014255)". Lineage: Eukaryota; Viridiplantae; Streptophyta; Magnoliopsida; Apiales; Araliaceae. The record is from RNAcentral.